RNAcentral lists this ribosomal RNA (804 nucleotides) under bacterium enrichment culture clone Dan60_43E. RNAcentral's name for it is "bacterial SSU rRNA". It matches the Rfam family "Bacterial small subunit ribosomal RNA", at positions 8 to 797 of the family's 1533-position model. The record is from RNAcentral.
AGAGUUUGAUUCUGGCUCAGAAUGAACGCUGGCGGCGUGCCUAACACAUGCAAGUCGCACGAGAAAGGCUGGGUUUCGGCUUGGCCGAGUAAAGUGGCGCACGGGUGAGUAACGCGUGGGUGACCUACCCUCGAAUCUGGGAUAACCUCGCGAAAGCGGGGCUAAUACCGGAUACGUCCCUUUGGGGAGAAAGCCGGCCUCUCGAAGAAGCUGGUGUUCGGGGAUGGGCCCGCGUCCUAUCAGCUAGUUGGUAGGGUAACGGCCUACCAAGGCGACGACGGGUAGCUGGUCUGAGAGGAUGAUCAGCCACACUGGCACUGGAACACGGGCCAGACUCCUACGGGAGGCAGCAGUGAGGAAUUUUGCCCAAUGGGAGCAAUCCUGACGCAGCAACGCCGCGUGGGUGAAGAAGGCCUUCGGGUCGUAAAGCCCUGUCUGGAGGGAAGAACCUCGCUGGGGCGAAUAGCCUGGACGACUGACGGUACCUCCAGAGGAAGCACCGGCUAACUCCGUGCCAUCAAGCCCCGGUAAUACGGAGGGUGCGAGCGUUAUUCGGAAUUACUGGGCGUAAAGCGCGUGUAGGCGGCAAGCCAAGUCUGGUGUGAAACCCCCGGGGCUUCACCCCCGAAGUGCAUUGGAAACUGUUCUGCUUGAUUACCUGAAAGGAAAGGGGAAAUUCCCGGGUACCGGUGAAAUGCGUAGAUAUCCGGAGGAAUAUCCGAGGCCAACGACUCCUUUUGGUACGUUACUGACCCCUAAACACCAAAAUCUGGGGAGUCAACGGCAUAAAUCCCCUGCUGCUCA